GUAACGGCCCACCAAGGCGACGAUCAGUAGCCGGACUGAGAGGUUGGCCGGCCACAUUGGGACUGAGACACGGCCCAGACUCCUACGGGAGGCAGCAGUGGGGAAUAUUGGGCAAUGGGCGCAAGCCUGACCCAGCAACGCCGCGUGAAGGAAGAAGGCUUUCGGGUUGUAAACUUCUUUUCUUGAGGACGAAGAAGUGACGGUACUCAAGGAAUAAGCUCCGGCUAACUAC
Molecule: ribosomal RNA, 232 nt
Filed under: uncultured bacterium
Lineage: Bacteria
Description: partial 16S ribosomal RNA
Rfam family: Bacterial small subunit ribosomal RNA
Source: RNAcentral